CUCCGCGCCCGGUUGACCUGCGCGGCCGGGCGUGCGAGGCCCCAGGCUCGUCCCGAGUUUGAGCUCCUUCGCAGGCAGGCCUUGGCCGACGACUCCCUUCCCCCACGCAACAAGAGUGGUUUUAACCUCGCGUGCCUCGAACAGUGUUUAGGGCUCCAAGUGCCAGGUUUCAGGAAACCUCAGCUCCACCAGGACAAAGGCAUUUCCUGCUAAAGACCAUGGAACACUGCCCCUCAGUUCUCUUUUCUUGGGAACUAGAUGCUUCCUGUAUGGUUUGACCCUCAGACAUGUGAUCCAUAGUCAGGACCUAACCUGACUUGAGUGGGAGGAUGUUUAGUAAUAUUUUCCCAAGUACGAUCAAGAACAACAGAAAAGUAGCAUCUAGAGGCUGAUUCGUUUGAUGUAACUGGUUCUGAAAAGAGCAGCUGUCUGAAGAAAAAGAUGUCAUAUUUUUAAAUUUCAAGAAGACCUGCUGGGAAAUACAUGAUAAAACACUGCUUCACUUUAUUUUCCAUUCACAUACUAUAGUUUAACUUGACGUUAUCUGAAAAAGUUCCAUCACAGGUUCGUGGUACAAGGACACGGAAGCAUCGCUGCCAAUCUGACGACUGCCAAGUGGUGUUGCUUGGAGGAGGCCUAGAUGGAAUGACCAGAUGAGUCUCUCCAGUCUUCCUAACCAGUGGUCCUAUUUUAUUUUGAUUUUGCUGCCUUCAAUUAUGUCACUGUUGUUCCUUGCAUUUCAUUUUGCUAUGCCAAAAUGCUAUGUAAGCUACCCUUUGCUGGUGUAGGUUAUCUCUGGAAGGUGAGUUGCUGGCGCUUCUUGAGGGGCUCCGGGCCGCACCUUCCUCCGGAGUCCUCCAGCAGAAACCACCGGCCGGAGCUCGCGCCCUGAGUCCCGCGCAGGGACCCUACCUGGGCCACUGCAAGGUCACUGCGAGGCACCUGCACCACCGGCCCCAGGUGACUGCCCAAGAUUUUUUUUUUAAUACAAUCAAGUACUGUACUACUCUGCCACAAAGGAUAACCUUGAGACAUUUCUAGCUAAAUGGAUGCACUUUGAGACCAUACUCUUCAGUGAGAUAAAUAGGACACACAUAACUACCACAUUGUUUCCCUGGUGUGGGAAACUGAAAGUGAAAAUAAGGACCAAAAUGUACAGUAGAUAUUGGGAAAUGUUCAAGAAAAUGUUCAAAUGGGAAGGAGAACAAGGGAGGGGGGAGGGGGAAGGGAAGGAAGGGAGAGAAAAAAAUAAGAAGGAAAAAAUUGAAACAAAGCUUUUUUUGUAAAUAAGGAG
This 1294-nucleotide long non-coding RNA is filed under the name Heterocephalus glaber (naked mole-rat). Its description in RNAcentral is "lncRNA (ENSHGLG00100033495.1)". The record is from RNAcentral. Lineage: Eukaryota; Metazoa; Chordata; Mammalia; Rodentia; Bathyergidae.